ACAAGACAACAUCCAAGUUGUGGAGCAGGUCGGGAAACAGCACGACCAGUUUAAAAGGACAGCAAACCUCUGCAGCGCUGUGAAAUGUUUGUGGAGCACCAUCAUCUGCUCAUAGUAGUGGGGAAGUGAGAUCCAAUCACAACUGGUUACUGGAGAUGCAUCUGGAGACGCAUUCUUGUGCCAUGUGCAUGUGAACUGAUGUACCGAAGGUCAUCCACUUGUGAUCGGAUCACCCAAGACAAAUGUUAAUGGCAGAUGUUGUUCCAGGUGUGAGGUGAGGAGUCAGACAUUACCUGAGCACAUCACGCCAGCGAACACCCAGCACUGCCCGUACUUGACUGGGUGGCAGCCAAUAUUAUACCAGUGCUUUAGGAUGGCAUGGCUGCC
Long non-coding RNA from Lates calcarifer (barramundi perch), 387 nucleotides. RefSeq lists it as uncharacterized. The transcript is spliced from 3 exons. The record is from RefSeq and is a predicted model, not a curated record. Lineage: Eukaryota; Metazoa; Chordata; Actinopteri; Centropomidae.